CUUAGCAUAAGUGUUAUGGUAAAUUGCUAUUUCCCCGCCACAGGCUGGGCUGGCGUCUUUUUAGCCUGUGAGUGUUCGGUCUGUGCGGGGCGCGCGUCCCGGGCGAUGGGAAGCUCGAGUCGGCCUGCUGACGCGGGUCCUUGUCCCCACAGUGCUGUUCGAGUUUAAUGGCCUCCGAGGUGCUGACGCCCACACCACCUCCGCAGACACCCCCAAACAAGGGAGAGACCAUUCUAACGCAGAUGCUGUCCAAACAGUGCCUCUCAGAAAGGGAACCUAGAGAUACACUUGGUCAGUUCUGGUGCCGUGACCUCGUCCGCAGCCCCCUCCUGGACGUCCCA
This 341-nucleotide long non-coding RNA is filed under the name Bos mutus (wild yak). RNAcentral describes it as "lncRNA (ENSBMUG00000002646.1)". Lineage: Eukaryota; Metazoa; Chordata; Mammalia; Artiodactyla; Bovidae. The record is from RNAcentral.